RNAcentral lists this ribosomal RNA (443 nucleotides) under uncultured bacterium. RNAcentral describes it as "bacterial SSU rRNA". It matches the Rfam family "Bacterial small subunit ribosomal RNA", at positions 28 to 454 of the family's 1533-position model. The record is from RNAcentral.
GAUGAACGCUGGCGGCGUGCCUAACACAUGCAAGUCGAACGGAGCUGCUUUGAUGAAGUUUUCGGAUGGAUUUAAAGCAGCUUAGUGGCGGACGGGUGAGUAACGCGUGGGUAACCUGCCUCACACUGGGGGAUAACAGUUAGAAAUAGCUGCUAAUACCGCAUAAGCGCACGGUUCCGCAUGGAACAGUGUGAAAAACUCCGGUGGUGUGAGAUGGACCCGCGCCUGAUUAGCCAGUUGGCGGGGUAACGGCCCACCAAAGCGACGAUCAGUAGCCGGCCUGAGAGGGUGAACGGCCACAUUGGGACUGAGACACGGCCCAAACUCCUACGGGAGGCAGCAGUGGGGAAUAUUGCACAAUGGGGGAAACCCUGAUGCAGCGACGCCGCGUGAGUGAAGAAGUAUUUCGGUAUGUAAAGCUCUAUCAGCAGGGAAGAAAGUGA